CCCGGCACAAGCGGUGGAGCAUGUGGUUAAUUCGAUGAUACGCGAGGAACCUUACCUGGGCUCAAAUGUAUGUUGACGUAUUCUGAAAGGGAUACUUCUUCGGACAAUAUACAAGGUGCUGCAUGGUUGUCGUCAGCUCGUGCCGUGAGGUGUCGGGUUAAGUCCCAUAACGAGCGCAACCCCUAUCAUUAGUUGCCAUCAGGUCAAGCUGGGGACUCUAAUGAAACUGCCUACGCAAGUAGUGAGGAAGGUGGGGAUGACGUCAAGUCAUCAUGGCCCUUACGGCCUGGGCUACACACGUGCUACAAUGGUCGGUACAAAGGGUUGCCAAGCCGCGAGGUGGAGCUAAUCCCAUAAAACCGAUCGUAGUCCGGAUCGCAGUCUGCAACUCGACUGCGUGAAGUCGGAAUCGCUAGUAAUCGUGAAUCAGAAUGUCACGGUGAAUACGUUCCCGGGCCUU
This 460-nucleotide ribosomal RNA is filed under the name uncultured Sphingobacteriales bacterium. RNAcentral's name for it is "partial 16S ribosomal RNA". It matches the Rfam family "Bacterial small subunit ribosomal RNA", at positions 920 to 1382 of the family's 1533-position model. Lineage: Bacteria; Pseudomonadati; Bacteroidota; Sphingobacteriia; Sphingobacteriales. The record is from RNAcentral.